RNAcentral lists this ribosomal RNA (694 nucleotides) under uncultured Enterobacterales bacterium. RNAcentral describes it as "bacterial SSU rRNA". It matches the Rfam family "Bacterial small subunit ribosomal RNA", at positions 59 to 744 of the family's 1533-position model. Lineage: Bacteria; Pseudomonadati; Pseudomonadota; Gammaproteobacteria; Enterobacterales. The record is from RNAcentral.
AAGUCGAACGGUAGCACAGAGAGCUUGCUCUCGGGUGACGAGUGGCGGACGGGUGAGUAAUGUCUGGGAAACUGCCUGAUGGAGGGGGAUAACUACUGGAAACGGUAGCUAAUACCGCAUAACGUCGCAAGACCAAAGAGGGGGACCUUCGGGCCUCUUGCCAUCAGAUGUGCCCAGAUGGGAUUAGCUAGUAGGUGGGGUAACGGCUCACCUAGGCGACGAUCCCUAGCUGGUCUGAGAGGAUGACCAGCCACACUGGAACUGAGACACGGUCCAGACUCCUACGGGAGGCAGCAGUGGGGAAUAUUGCACAAUGGGCGCAAGCCUGAUGCAGCCAUGCCGCGUGUAUGAAGAAGGCCUUCGGGUUGUAAAGUACUUUCAGCGGGGAGGAAGGUGUUGCGGUUAAUAACCGCAGCAAUUGACGUUACCCGCAGAAGAAGCACCGGCUAACUCCGUGCCAGCAGCCGCGGUAAUACGGAGGGUGCAAGCGUUAAUCGGAAUUACUGGGCGUAAAGCGCACGCAGGCGGUCUGUCAAGUCGGAUGUGAAAUCCCCGGGCUCAACCUGGGAACUGCAUUCGAAACUGGCAGGCUAGAGUCUUGUAGAGGGGGGUAGAAUUCCAGGUGUAGCGGUGAAAUGCGUAGAGAUCUGGAGGAAUACCGGUGGCGAAGGCGGCCCCCUGGACAAAGACUGAC